GUCCACGCCGUAAACUAUGCUGACUAGCUAUUAGGAGCAUCGACCCUUUUAGUAGCGAAGCUAACGCGUUAAGUCAGCCGCCUGGGGAGUACGACCGCAAGGUUAAACUCAAAGGAAUAGACGGGGCUCGCACAAGCGGUGGAACAUGAGGUUUAAUUCGACAAUAAGCGAAGAACCUUACCAGGGUUCACCCUAUUGGAAUCCCGUAGAAAUAUGGGAGUGCCCGCAAGGGAGCCAUUAGGCCGGUGGUGCACGGUUGUCGU
This 263-nucleotide ribosomal RNA is filed under the name uncultured bacterium. RNAcentral's name for it is "partial 16S ribosomal RNA". It matches the Rfam family "Bacterial small subunit ribosomal RNA", at positions 793 to 1055 of the family's 1533-position model. The record is from RNAcentral.